CCUACGGGGGAAGAGCAGUGGGGAAUUUUGGACAAUGGGCGAAAGCCUGAUCCAGCAAUGCCGCGUGCAGGAUGAAGGCCCUCGGGUUGUAAACUGCUUUUGUACGGAACGAAAAGCCUGGGGCUAAUAUCCCCGGGUCAUGACGGUACCGUAAGAAUAAGCACCGGCUAACUACGUGCCAGCAGCCGCGGUAAUACGUAGGGUGCAAGCGUUAAUCGGAAUUACUGGGCGUAAAGCGUGCGCAGGCGGUUUUGUAAGACAGUGGUGAAAUCCCCGGGCUCAACCUGGGAACUGCCAUUGUGACUGCAAGGCUAGAGUGCGGCAGAGGGGGAUGGAAUUCCGCGUGUAGCAGUGAAAUGCGUAGAUAUGCGGAGGAACACCGAUGGCGAAGGCAAUCCCCUGGGCCUGCACUGACGCUCAUGCACGAAAGCGUGGGGAGCAAACAGGAUUAGAUACCCUGGUAGUCCACGCCCUAAACGAUGUCAACUGGUUGUUGGGUCUUAACUGACUCAGUAACGAAGCUAACGCGUGAAGUGACCGCCUGGGGAGACCGCAA
Molecule: ribosomal RNA, 556 nt
Filed under: Comamonas testosteroni
Lineage: Bacteria; Pseudomonadati; Pseudomonadota; Betaproteobacteria; Burkholderiales; Comamonadaceae
Description: bacterial SSU rRNA
Rfam family: Bacterial small subunit ribosomal RNA
Source: RNAcentral